Long non-coding RNA from Mustela erminea (ermine), 484 nucleotides. RefSeq lists it as uncharacterized. The transcript has 4 exons. NCBI's taxonomy places the organism in Eukaryota, Metazoa, Chordata, Mammalia, Carnivora, Mustelidae. The record is from RefSeq and is a predicted model, not a curated record.
GGCUUUUCCCUCAGUCCUGUCUGCUUGCUGACCAACUCUGGUAUUCUCCCAGGAUGUGACUUGCCCCCUUCUCAGGGGAAAUGUUACCAUAUGGGAGUACCAGCUGCCACACUUUCUGAAACCAAGGCAUGGACCCGAAUCCUGCUAAUUUCCAGAAACAAAGACUAGGGUUUUAGAAGAGUAUGCUCCAGGACUCAGGCUUCUGCCAUUAAGUGAGAAAACCAAUUCUGACAAUCACCCAUGGAUAAGAGUGUGCUUGUGGAAAUCUGGGAGUCUAGUAGAGAAGUUCCAGCACAACACUGGAGCUAAGACAAAAAAGAAAGAAAGAAAGAAAGAAAGAUCCAAGAUUGGAGGCGUUGAAGAUGGAAAGCAGUCUGAAUGCAUGUCAUCCUUCUUUCUGAAGCACAUAAAAAAAAAAGCUGAUUUGUUCACCUCAUGCAUGGACUUAAUACAGUUUCCAACAAUAAAAUAUAUGUUGAUUAUU